CUUUUAUCAACACACUGGUUGUGGAUAUGGAUGAUUUAGUUUCUGUAAGCCUUACAUAGCGAUCUCUUUGUAUUUGUCCAAUCAUAACAUGUCCAUCUAAAAACACAGAACGGCUUUGAAGUUUCUGACUGUGAUUUAGUAUAGUAGUGGUUCACAUGCCAUUCAAAACUCAAAACUAACUCUGUGGCCAAACUACUGCAGCCUCAUGUUCGGUUACGCAAAUACCUGAACGCAGACGUGAUUCCUAAAUUCAACGCAACUCUCAGCAUUGCCGCAAGGGGCGCUUACAUCGUCAAAAUAGCGUAAAUUACUUGUGGAUCAACUAGUCAUGACGCAGCAACAAUUUAUUAACAUUUAGUUUAAUGUCAGAUACAUUUAAAAAUUUAAUUUAACCGCUCUCUGAAUAUUGAGGUUUGUUAGCGCGAGACCAAAACAAGAGCGCCAAGCGUCUGCGUUCGUGUAUUAGCGCAAAGAAUGUUUUUUACUGCGCAUGUGGAAGAUUUCACAAACCAAACAAACCAGUAGCAGAAAGGCAGAUUAUAUCGCCAGGUUGAUGCAAAAUAUCGGAUGCAGGUUAGUAAAAAGUUUUACUGAAUCUUGCUGUGUCCCUGUCUGACUCUAAACGGUGUUAUCGCCACUGCUGGUGGAGGUCCGAUUGACCUCAUUCUGGCAGCUCAAUAUUGCAUUUCAGGGAAACAAAAUUACAAAGUUAUUCAGCCUUACUUUUCAAAAAAUAAUCAUGAAAAACUGGUGGAAUUUUAACAACUCACAACCACUCGCUCUCACACAAGGGAGAGACAUCCCUGGGCAAGAAAAAAAACAAUGGAUAUAUGGAACCAAUCCACAUUACGGUCCCCUGCCUGAACUUUUUAGACUCUUUUCGAUAGAACCAUCUUUAAGAAAUUGUUCAGUGGUAUUCAGCACUGAAUUUUCUUAAUAUAGUUACUGGUACUUCAACAUAAUCACUGCUCAGGAGCCCAGAUUACUCUCCAUGUGAGAAGUCACCACCCAGGUAGAACUUAUAUAUGUAGAAAAAUAUAGUUUAAUGAAAUUUAUAUCUAUUAAUUUCUUUUAUCUUUUUUUUUUUGUAUCAUAUCCACCAUGUAAAGUUGUCUACUACAUAUAGCAGGAUCAUCAUGAUUCACUCUGCUAAACACAAAAUGACAUGAAACACCUUUGCACUAUGCCUGGUUAUUUCAUAUUUAAUUUGUGAUUAAUAGUUAGUCGAUUGGCAUUUUUAGGCAACUGCAAUGAGUUAUUCUACAAUAUGAUUACAAUGUAAACACCACAGUACUGAAGUUACUGUAUCCAACAAACAGUAAAGCACAACAAGGCAAAUGGCCAUAUAAGCAUAGAUUUGUUCUUGAUGAAAAAUAAAAACAAAACACACAAAAAAGAAAAAGAAAGAAACAGCAACACUUUGCAUUGGUUCAAAGCCACACGUUUGUAGUUUCCAAAUCUGGUGACUUAUCCCGAGGCAGAUUACAACAGUGUCUGACAAACAUCUAAGCCCAGUUGACCUGAUAUCACAUGGUCAUUUGAUGUGAGCCUGGCCAUUUUUGGACUGAAAUAAUGAGACUUUUUGGUUUCUUGUGGUGUCAGGGCGGGGCCACAAAUAGGUCGUUAAAUAUUGACCUUUUGACACAUAUGUGCCACUGAAUCACAUACUGACCUGAUGUUAAAAAACUCAAUGUGAUAUUAGAACUGAAGGCUGAAUCAAGUAUCUGGAUGCUGAUUUGAUUUAGGCCUGGCAUCCAACACUGCCUCUCAAUACAUCAUAUAUGUGACGUGGGUAAAUCUAUGUUUGUGUGUUUGUGCUGGUUUUAUGGGUUCUCCUUAAGUGAUUUUGGCUGUUCCGGCACAUACAGGUAUUUAUAUUGGCAUCAUCCAUUGGGCUCUAAGAACAUUACAUAUUAUUGCUAGACCGAACUACUAGCAUCCUUUAUAUACUAUCCACAAUACAGAGACAAACUGAUUACUUUAGUUUGGAUAUUGUUUAGACUGUAAUCACAAACACUGUCAAAGACUAUGGCAAUUAAACUUGAUCAUCACAAUCUUUGGCUAUUAAUCUUCCAAAAAGAGA
Long non-coding RNA from Sinocyclocheilus grahami, 2083 nucleotides. RefSeq lists it as uncharacterized. The record is from RefSeq and is a predicted model, not a curated record. Lineage: Eukaryota; Metazoa; Chordata; Actinopteri; Cypriniformes; Cyprinidae. The transcript has 2 exons.